This 70-nucleotide transfer RNA is filed under the name Cavia porcellus (domestic guinea pig). It matches the Rfam family "tRNA". Rfam says of the family: Transfer RNA (tRNA) molecules are approximately 80 nucleotides in length. Lineage: Eukaryota; Metazoa; Chordata; Mammalia; Rodentia; Caviidae. The record is from Rfam by way of RNAcentral.
GGGGAUUUAGCUCAGCGGCAUAAGCACCUGCCUUGCAAGCAGGCGGUCGUGGGUUCGAUUCCCGGUACCG